Unclassified non-coding RNA from Cebus imitator (Panamanian white-faced capuchin), 129 nucleotides. It matches the Rfam family "Y RNA". Rfam says of the family: Y RNAs are components of the Ro ribonucleoprotein particle (Ro RNP), in association with Ro60 and La proteins. The record is from Ensembl. NCBI's taxonomy places the organism in Eukaryota, Metazoa, Chordata, Mammalia, Primates, Cebidae.
GGUAGGACAAUUUGGGGGCUAUAUAUGAGGUUUAGGUAUCCAUUAUAUUUCAAAAAUUAAUUGAUCACAAACAGUUGCAGAUUUCUUUGUUCCUUCUCCACUCCCACUGCUUCACUUGACUAGCCUUAC